Molecule: ribosomal RNA, 241 nt
Filed under: uncultured bacterium
Lineage: Bacteria
Description: partial 16S ribosomal RNA
Rfam family: Bacterial small subunit ribosomal RNA
Source: RNAcentral
AUGCGAGCGUUAUCCGGAUUUAUUGGGUUUAAAGGGUGCGCAGGCGGAUUUUUAAGUCAGCGGUCAAAUCGUGGGGCUCAACCCCAUCCAGCCGUUGAAACUGCCGGGCUCGAGUGGGCGAGAAGUAUGCGGAAUGCGUGGUGUAGCGGUGAAAUGCAUAGAUAUCACGCAGAACCCCGAUUGCGAAGGCAGCAUACCGGCGCCCUACUGACGCUGAGGCACGAAAGUGCGGGGAUCAAAC